GGUCAGGAGUCCGAGGGCAGAGUAGAGACUCCGGAUUGGACAGGAGCAGACUUGGGGCGGAGAUAUGGAUGCAAACAAGGGACAAGGGCAGGAUUGGAGCAAUCUUGAGCUGCACACAGCUUCCGAUCAGCCAGUUUGGGCAUGGAACGGCCUGCGACAGUAGACCCUGGAAAGGCAGUCAGCAAGAGGAUGACACCAAGGAGCACUGGGGACCACGCCAUCAUGGACUAUGGAACAACAGUGACCAGGUACAGAACCAGAGGAGCUAAUGUGGAAAACCACCUUGGAAUUUCCUGCGCUGAGGGGCAGAACAAAGCAACCUUUUGAUUACCAGGCCCACCUCUCAGAUGAUCCAGUGAAUACUUUAUGUUGGGCCUCGGGAUAGGUAAUGUCCCACCAUGUUCACUAUUCAUCCCCAACUGCCACUUCCUGACUGGAUGACCUGGACUAAGCUACAGAAAUACAGCCUCACCUUGCCCAUACAUACAAUGGGGAUAGGAAUAAAAGCAAAAGUU
Marmota flaviventris (yellow-bellied marmot) is the source of this 515-nucleotide long non-coding RNA. RefSeq lists it as uncharacterized. The record is from RefSeq and is a predicted model, not a curated record. NCBI's taxonomy places the organism in Eukaryota, Metazoa, Chordata, Mammalia, Rodentia, Sciuridae.